GACGAACGCUGGCGGCGUGCUUAACACAUGCAAGUCGAACGGAAAGACCCUGCUUUUGCGGGUUUCUCGUGUGCCGAACGGGUGAGUAACACGUGUGUAACCUGCCCUUGACUUUGUGAUAUCUUCACGAAACUCGGGCUAUUACCGGAUAGGAGCUACUGCUCCACGGUGGGGGUUGGUAAGUUUCGGCUGUUGGGUAUCGUCUCGAGGGUUCUCAGCUUGUUGGUGUGGUAGUGGCUUACCAAGGCUUUGACGGGUAGCCGGCAUGAGCGGCUGACCGGCCACAUUAGGACUGAGAUACGGACCAGACUCCUACGGGAGGCAGCAGGGGGGAAUCUUGCACAAUGGGCGGAAGCCUGAUACAGCGACGCCGCGAGCGGAAUGACGGCUUUCGGGUUGUAAACCGCUUUCGACUGUGACGAAGCGGGAGUGACGGUAAUUGGUAAAGAAGCCCCGGCUAACUACGUG
RNAcentral lists this ribosomal RNA (468 nucleotides) under uncultured bacterium. RNAcentral's name for it is "partial 16S ribosomal RNA". It matches the Rfam family "Bacterial small subunit ribosomal RNA", at positions 28 to 507 of the family's 1533-position model. The record is from RNAcentral.